This 817-nucleotide ribosomal RNA is filed under the name uncultured bacterium. Its description in RNAcentral is "bacterial SSU rRNA". It matches the Rfam family "Bacterial small subunit ribosomal RNA", at positions 23 to 804 of the family's 1533-position model. The record is from RNAcentral.
CAGAGGAUGAACGCUAGCGGCAGGCUUAACACAUGCAAGUCGAGGGGUAACGCGAGGUAGCAAUACUUUGGCGACGACCGGCGCACGGGUGCGUAACGCGUAUGCAACCUACCUGUAACAGGGGUAUAACGGAGAGAAAUUUCCACUAAUCCCCCAUAUUGUUGUGAUACCGCAUGAUAUUGCAACGAAAGCUUCGGUGGUUACGGAUGGGCAUGCGUGACAUUAGGUAGUUGGCGGGGCAACGGCCCACCAAGCCGACGACGUCUAGGGGAGCUGAGAGGCUUAUCCCCCACACUGGUACUGAGACACGGACCAGACUCCUACGGGAGGCAGCAGUGAGGAAUAUUGGUCAAUGGACGGAAGUCUGAACCAGCCAUGCCGCGUGGAGGAAGAAGGUCCUAUGGGUUGUAAACUCCCUUUUGUCCGAAGAGUUGUAAAACUCCUUUUGUCCGAGAGUAAAUAAAGAGGGAUGCGUCCCUCGAUGAGAGUAUCGGGCGAAUAAGCAUCGGCUAACUCCGUGCCAGCAGCCGCGGUAAUACGGAGGAUGCAAGCGUUAUCCGGAUUUAUUGGGUUUAAAGGGUGCGCAGGCGGCGCGUUAAGUCAGCGGUGAAAUCUCCCGGCUCAACCGGGGAACUGCCGUUGAUACUGGCGUGCUCGAGUACGGACGGCGCCGGCGGAAUGUGUCAUGUAGCGGUGAAAUGCUUAGAUAUGCCACAGAACACCGAUCGCGAAGGCAGCUGGCGAGGCCGGGACUGACGCUCAGGCACGAAAGCGUGGGGAUCAAACAGGAUUAGAUACCCUGGUAGUCCACGCAGUA